AUUUACGAAUGUGUGAUUAUUCACAUUUCAUAGACCAACGCGAUAUUAAAUAAUUUUGUUCUGUUUUCAGUGCAAAAAAAACGAAGAUUAAAGAGCAUCACUUCAUGCUCGUAGUUAUGGCAAGUGGAGGGACUAGAAAGUGCACCGUACUUAGCAACAAUAGGUUGCAACUGUAGCUGAGUGCACUUUAGAACGCUUGGAUUUCAUUUGCAUAUCCUCUGCGACGAGCGGCGCGAAGACGGGGUUCAAGUCGCUUCUGUCUAUGCAGCCUGGGAAGUGCAGCUACGAAUGUUUAUUAUGUUAAACAUCCUCGGCGAACCGUGCUUGUACACUCUGGAACAAUACUCGCCGCGUAAAGCUACGCUGUCAGAUUGUCUAAGUAUGCUACUGCCUGCGUGGAUGUCGCUGUUGCUCACUCGUUGCCCGCCGUCACUGUUUCAGCGAACGAAAACUCCGCGUUUUCUCAUCCGAGACGCAUGGCAACGAAUUCUUAUAUCAACACUAGAACUACCGAAUCGGUGAAAAUGACUGGUUUCCGAUUUUUCAUUUUACAGUUCCUCUGAUAUUAUAAAAAUACUUCCAGGAGAAAUUUGUAGGUGCUGCGCAGAAUGGAAAUGCAGCCGACGAUGCAUCCGCUCGACAGCAGAAACGCGAAAAGACACGUGCCGUAAUUAUUAAUUAAUGUUUCGCCGAAGUAUCCGCAUGGUUUCCGAGUCCGCUUCGGCGAGUCAACUUUUUAGUCUUUGAUAAUUAGAAACAUUAAUUACUGCGAUAAAUACAACAUUUCUUAAUGCAAUUAGAAGAUUCUCUGUCGUAGAAAUGAAUUACAAAUCUUAUUACUGUUCUGAAUAUAAAAUUGAAGCGCAAAGAUCUGCAGUCUUAAUUGUGCGAUAUUUUACCAAUCGUUGCAAUUUUCGUU
Non-coding RNA from Megalopta genalis, 919 nucleotides. The record is from RefSeq and is a predicted model, not a curated record. Lineage: Eukaryota; Metazoa; Arthropoda; Insecta; Hymenoptera; Halictidae.